GGCUCGUUGGUCUAGGGUAUGAUUCUCGCUUUGGGUGCGAGAGGUCCCGGGUUCAAAUCCUGGACGAGCCC
This 71-nucleotide transfer RNA is filed under the name Danionella translucida. It matches the Rfam family "tRNA". Rfam says of the family: Transfer RNA (tRNA) molecules are approximately 80 nucleotides in length. Their secondary structure includes four short double-helical elements and three loops (D, anti-codon, and T loops). The record is from Rfam by way of RNAcentral. Lineage: Eukaryota; Metazoa; Chordata; Actinopteri; Cypriniformes; Danionidae. RNAcentral also lists the same sequence under 1 other name.